This 489-nucleotide small RNA is filed under the name Pongo abelii (Sumatran orangutan). RNAcentral's name for it is "processed transcript". The record is from RNAcentral. Lineage: Eukaryota; Metazoa; Chordata; Mammalia; Primates; Hominidae.
UUGACCGGCAGCUGAUGGACACGCACCUGAAAGAACGGAGCCAGCCGGCUGCUGCCCUCUGCAGGGGCCACAGCGCUGGGAGAGGGGAUGAGCCCAGCACCGCUGAAGGCAAAAGACUCUUCUCAUUCUUCAGGAAAAUUUAAGUUGGGAGGAGUCAGGCCACCAAAGAUGGGUGGACUGGAGGCAGCUGGAAAGGCGGUGCAGGCCCCAACUCAGAGGCUCCACGGCCCGGCCAGCCCUCAGCUGCUCACAACUGAUUCAGUCUCCCUCCCUCACGUGGGGAAAGCACAGCAGGGAUGCGCGGCAAGAAUGUACCUGUAGAUGUGUACAUACCACAGUGCUGUAAUUUUGUAUGUAGCAAUCAUGUAAAUACAUGUAUGGAUUUUAUAAUAUACAUAUAUAAAAAUAUAUAAAGGCAUAUUUUUAGAAAAACAGCACACCACUGCUUCUUUUGAAAAUAGUCUGAAUAAGAAUAAAAUGAAUUUCUAC